AUAUGCGAAAGCAUGAUCCAGCGAACUAAUGGAAAUGAAGAAGGUAGGAACUACUGUAAAGUUUAGUGCGAAAAUUAACAAACUGAGUAAAUUUUAAGAGAAGCUCUGGCUAAUACAUGUGCCAGCAGCCGCGGUAAUACAUGAGGAGCAAGCGUUAUCCAUAUUGACUGAGUGUAUUAAAUACUUAGGUGAUUAUAAUUACUACCCUAACGCUGUAUUAAAAACUAAAUAUGGUAGUUAUUUUAUAAAUUCUAAUUAAAAAUAAGAGGGGGAGACUUAUAGAACAACGAUUAAAUGUAGUUACACUAUAUAGCUUGCCAUAAAUUAAGAUGCCCUUCUGUUUUUAAUUUUAUCUAAUGUAUGAAAGUAUGGGGAUCGAUAAGGAUUAGUUUCCCUAGUAGUCCGUACUGUAAAAAAUGAAUACUUUACGAAAAAUAAAUUUCGGGAAUAGCUAACGCAAAAGUAUUCUACUUGGGGAGUAUUGUCGCAAGAUUAAAACUUAACUGAAUUGGCGGGA
Molecule: ribosomal RNA, 517 nt
Filed under: Tetrahymena conneri
Lineage: Eukaryota; Ciliophora; Oligohymenophorea; Hymenostomatida; Tetrahymenidae
Description: SSU rRNA
Rfam family: Bacterial small subunit ribosomal RNA
Source: RNAcentral